CCUACUUGUUAUUGUGAUUGUUCCACACUGAGAUUGUUCCACACUGAGAUUGAGAUUGUUCCUACAUAGUACUGAGCCAUCAAGGGUUCGGCGGCUCUCCAGCUCAACAAUGGACCCAGUCAACCAGCUUCUACAUAUUCGGAAAGGAGACUUACCAUCCUACCUGAUCAGGCUUGCUCUCCUGUGCCAUUGAUACCACUGCGGUGGUCCUCUGCUCUGCCCUGGUGGGCUUCUGUCCCAUCUGCUCAGCUGUGGUGCUCCUCUGCUCCACCCUGGUGGGCUUCUGUCCUGUCUGCUCUGCUUUGUUGGUCCUCUGCUCCACCCUGGUGGGCUUCAGUCCUGUCUGCUAGGCUGUGGUGAUCCACUGCUCUGCCCUCGUAGGUUUCUGUCCCAUCUGUUUGCUGUUGUACGACCUUUUGCCUGUCUGACUAUGCACUUUGUUUGAAUAAAAGCAAAGUAGCAAUCAUGUUACAUAAAGAUAUUUUGUAAGUUACCUACUGUAAAUAUAAAGUUUAUUUUUUAUUAAUAUGCAUUUCUAUGGACAAAUGUAAAGGUGAUUUUUCUCAAAGGGUUUAUUUUUUUUUAUUUUUUUUAUUUAUUUAUUUAUUGUACCCUUAGAUUUCAGAUAUACAAAUAGUUGUAUCUCAUCCAAAUAUUGUCCUUCUAACAAACCAUACAUCAAUGGAAAGUGUAUUUAUUGUUUCAGAUGAUGUACAAAUCUCAAAUCAAAGAUUUACCCUUAUGACUGAUUUUGUGGUCCAGGGUCAUAAAUGUUGAUUUUGUAGGUCUGUUGUGUUUGCACACUGCAGAAAACAGCAUGCCUUUCUCUUACACAAAAAAAAGCCCUGUAGCAUUGAGUAUACA
Long non-coding RNA from Carassius gibelio (silver crucian carp), 864 nucleotides. RefSeq lists it as uncharacterized. The record is from RefSeq and is a predicted model, not a curated record. NCBI's taxonomy places the organism in Eukaryota, Metazoa, Chordata, Actinopteri, Cypriniformes, Cyprinidae. The transcript has 3 exons.